Long non-coding RNA from Drosophila ananassae, 511 nucleotides. RefSeq lists it as uncharacterized. The record is from RefSeq and is a predicted model, not a curated record. The transcript is spliced from 2 exons. NCBI's taxonomy places the organism in Eukaryota, Metazoa, Arthropoda, Insecta, Diptera, Drosophilidae.
GGUGUCCACAAGAUUUGAUUGCUAUAAAUUCCUCUCGUGUACUUUUUUACACAAAAAAUCCCCAUUCAGGCCUUAUCUGGCAAAGCCUUUCAAGCUGUCAGUUCGCCUAUAAAAGCUCAUUUCUUACGUAUCACGAUCAUCAGUCUCUCAAUUCACGUUGCAGAAGCAAUAUCAACCAAGAAUUCCACAUCCUUUACCCCAGGAUUAAUCCAGAAAUACCAACAUGAACUUCAAUCUGAUCUUCGUAUUUGUGGCUCUCAUCAUGGCCAUUAGCCUGGGACAGUCGGAAGCUGGUUGGCUCAAAAAGAUUGGCAAGAAUUGAACGUGUUGGACAGCACACUCGGGAUGCCACUAUCCAGACUCUGGGAAUCGCUCAACAGGCCGCCAAUGUCGCAGCAACUGCUAGGGGAUAAAAUUUUAUAUCUAUAACACUAAUUUUAAAUUAUUUAUCCGAGCCUAACCUAUUGUACAAUUCAUUUCUAAGACAUACAAAUAAAUACUUUUAAAAAUA